Molecule: long non-coding RNA, 621 nt
Organism: Cucumis melo (muskmelon)
Lineage: Eukaryota; Viridiplantae; Streptophyta; Magnoliopsida; Cucurbitales; Cucurbitaceae
Exons: 2
Source: RefSeq, a predicted model, not a curated record
ACCUCUUUGGCCGGUGAUGGUGAAGUUGUACACAUAGCUUUGCCCCGGCUGGAUAGGACAUUGUGUAAUGUAUGCCGGACCAUCAGCCCAGCCUGUUCGGAGUUGCCUGAUUCCAUGCCUACCACCACAUCGUGCACUCAUUAGAUUACUCUGCCAAACCAGGAAGAAGGCAGCAAAAUGCCAACAAGACAAAAGCUCGAACACCCGAAGACCCCAUUGGUAUCUUUUCUUUCCUUUUCUGGGGUUUCUGAGUUAUUUUGAUGUGUGAGAAAUGAAGAAGAUGGGUGAGAAUUGAUGGCCAUGCAACUCAUCCUUAUAAAGAGAAACACCAAAUGGGUUAAAUGGCUGAUUAAGCUCUCUGUGUUGUUGCUAUGUCGUUUUUUCUUAGUUAGGUGAUGAGUUAAACAAGUCUUCGUACCAAAGGAUUUUCAGAUGAAACCAGAAUCAGAUCCGCCAUUUUCUUUUAUAUAUCUUACAUUUUAAGUUUAUGUUUUUCAUUUUUUAAAAUUCUUUUUUUUUUUUUUUUCCUCAACUCUUCUGUGUUGUGUAUGUAUGUCUAUGAGAAGCAAUUAUGGACACCUUUUAAUACUCCAUAUAAUCAAAAGCUUCACCUUUAGCGUC